This is a non-coding RNA of Schistosoma mansoni, 46 nucleotides long. Lineage: Eukaryota; Metazoa; Platyhelminthes; Trematoda; Strigeidida; Schistosomatidae. The record is from Rfam.
GCACUUCUGAGGAGUCCCACAAGGAGACGAAACGGCCGUCCAGUGC